UCUUGAUGGUGGUCAAGAUGACACAUUCUGUGGAUCUCUGUCAGUCCCUUUCUUUAGUGACUGUCUUUGACCAAUGGGAUCAUGAACAAAGUAGCCAUGGUGGCAAAGAUGGACAGUAAGUGUAGACUCAGCAAUAUGAAUUCCUACUCAUGGCUGAUCUGGUGAUAGCUACUGCCGAGUAUCCAACCCACUGACAGCAGAGCUCCACACUGAGCCCCUGAAAUAGCACCAUUUCUAGAGAAUCAGGCAGCCUCUGAUGGUGGGACUGCCAAAAGCUCAGAUCUUCAACGAUGAAGAUGUAGGUCACCCUAAUAGGAAAGAAACCAUGACCAGGUACCAUUGAACAUAAAUUGUGGUAAUGGUGAUUACCAUUUCUUUUAGUUUCAUUGGGCCACCAUAAUAAAGUCCCACAAACUGGGUGGCUUAAAACAACAGGAAUUUAUCCUCUUACAGUGUCAAGGCUAGAAGUCCAAAGUCAAGGUAUCAGCGGGUUUAGCUCCUUUGGGAAGCUCUGGGUAACAAUCUGUUCCAAACCUCUCUCAGUUUCUGGUACAACCCAGCAAGCUUUGGUGUUCCUUGGUUUGGGAUGACUCUCUCCAAGCUCGACCACCCUCAUCUUGUGGCAUUUUUUCCUUUUUGUGUGUCCAAAUUUCCCUUUUUGUGAGGACAGCAGUAAUUGGAUUAGCCUAACCCAAUACGACCUCUUUAAAACUUGACUCCAUCUGCAAAGAUCCUAUUUCCAAAUAAGAUCACAUUUACAAGGGGUCUGAGGUUGAAUGGAUAAAGAAGAUGUGGUCUAUGUAUGCACUGGAAU
Long non-coding RNA from Canis lupus familiaris (dog), 814 nucleotides. RefSeq lists it as uncharacterized. Lineage: Eukaryota; Metazoa; Chordata; Mammalia; Carnivora; Canidae. The record is from RefSeq and is a predicted model, not a curated record. The transcript is spliced from 3 exons.